This 436-nucleotide unclassified non-coding RNA is filed under the name Hevea brasiliensis (rubber tree). Lineage: Eukaryota; Viridiplantae; Streptophyta; Magnoliopsida; Malpighiales; Euphorbiaceae. The record is from RNAcentral.
UAGGCAUUGCAAAGUACACAGGAAAUUUAUUGAAAUCCCAUAGCCUAAAUAUAAGUGAAAUCUUGAAACAUCCUUGAAUCUGGCUCAAUAUAAGAACAGACCCUAAAGCCUAAAACACAUUAGAAUCUAGCAGCCUCUAAAAAUCGAGCUGCCCACCAAAACACACCUAGUUGAGUGCCUCUCCUAAACAGAAGCCAUGUAAGGCUGAGACCACCACAUAUUGGCUAUCAUUUUCAACCAAGCUCACCAAGAUUAGCCAAAAAAACAAGAAACCCAACCAAAAAUUAGAGGAGCAAGGGCCAUGAGAGCCAACGCAGGAAGCUAUGGAGGUUAAUGAUGAUCGAACUCCUUAGCAUUUAACUUGAGCCUUCCGGAUUGGACAAAUCCAGCUACUAAACCACAAGUUGCCACCAUUUCCACAAAUCAGAGCCAUCUA